Molecule: ribosomal RNA, 2034 nt
Filed under: Acinetobacter baumannii 1412924
Lineage: Bacteria; Pseudomonadati; Pseudomonadota; Gammaproteobacteria; Moraxellales; Moraxellaceae
Description: bacterial LSU rRNA
Rfam family: Bacterial large subunit ribosomal RNA
Source: RNAcentral
UGUUUCGGCUAGGGGGUCAUCCCGACUUACCAAACCGAUGCAAACUCCGAAUACCUAUGAGUACUAUCCGGGAGACAGACUGCGGGUGCUAACGUCCGUAGUCAAGAGGAAAACAAUCCAGACCGCCAGCUAAGGCCCCAAAAUCAUAGUUAAGUGGGAAACGAUGUGGGAAGGCAUAGACAGCUAGGAGGUUGGCUUAGAAGCAGCCACCCUUUAAAGAAAGCGUAAUAGCUCACUAGUCGAGUCGGCCUGCGCGGAAGAUGUAACGGGGCUAAAACUAUGUGCCGAAGCUGCGGAUGUAUACUUUGUAUACGUGGUAGGGGAGCGUUCUGUAAGCCGAUGAAGGUGUGUUGAGAAGCAUGCUGGAGGUAUCAGAAGUGCGAAUGCUGACGUGAGUAACGACAAAACGGGUGAAAAACCCGUUCGCCGAAAGACCAAGGGUUCCAGUCCAACGUUAAUCGGGGCUGGGUGAGUCGACCCCUAAGGCGAGGCCGAAAGGCGUAGUCGAUGGGAAAAUGGUUAAUAUUCCAUUACUUCUGUGUAAUGCGAUGAGAGGACGGAGAAGGCUAAAUCAGCCUGGCGUUGGUUGUCCAGGUGAAAGGAUGUAGGCAUGUAUCUUAGGCAAAUCCGGGGUACUCUAUGCUGAGAUCUGAUAGCAAGCUGUACUUGUACAGCGAAGUGGUUGAUGCCAUGCUUCCAGGAAAAGUCUCUAAGCUUCAGUUACACAGGAAUCGUACCCGAAACCGACACAGGUGGUCAGGUCGAGUAGACCAAGGCGCUUGAGAGAACUCUGCUGAAGGAACUAGGCAAAAUGGUACCGUAACUUCGGGAGAAGGUACGCUGUUGUUGGUGAUGGAACUCGCUUCCUGAGCUGACGACAGCCGCAGAAACCAGGCCGCUGCAACUGUUUAUUAAAAACAUAGCACUCUGCAAACACGAAAGUGGACGUAUAGGGUGUGAUGCCUGCCCGGUGCUGGAAGGUUAAUUGAUGGGGUUAGCGUAAGCGAAGCUCUUGAUCGAAGCCCCAGUAAACGGCGGCCGUAACUAUAACGGUCCUAAGGUAGCGAAAUUCCUUGUCGGGUAAGUUCCGACCUGCACGAAUGGCAUAAUGAUGGCGGCGCUGUCUCCAGCAGAGGCUCAGUGAAAUCGAAAUCGCUGUGAAGAUGCAGUGUACCCGCGGCUAGACGGAAAGACCCCGUGAACCUUUACUGCAGCUUGACACUGAACUUUGACCUUACUUGUGUAGGAUAGGUGGGAGGCUUUGAAGCUGGAACGCUAGUUCCAGUGGAGCCGUCCUUGAAAUACCACCCUGGUAAUGUUGAGGUUCUAACUCUGUCCCGUGAUCCGGGACGAGGACCGUGUCUGGUGGGUAGUUUGACUGGGGCGGUCUCCUCCUAAAGAGUAACGGAGGAGUACGAAGGUGCGCUCAGCGUGGUCGGAAAUCACGCGUAGAGUAUAAAGGCAAAAGCGCGCUUAACUGCGAGACCCACAAGUCGAGCAGGUACGAAAGUAGGUCUUAGUGAUCCGGUGGUUCUGUAUGGAAGGGCCAUCGCUCAACGGAUAAAAGGUACUCUGGGGAUAACAGGCUGAUACCGCCCAAGAGUUCAUAUCGACGGCGGUGUUUGGCACCUCGAUGUCGGCUCAUCUCAUCCUGGGGCUGAAGCAGGUCCCAAGGGUAUGGCUGUUCGCCAUUUAAAGAGGUACGCGAGCUGGGUUUAGAACGUCGUGAGACAGUUCGGUCCCUAUCUACCGUGGGCGCUGGAAAUUUGAGAGGAUCUGCUCCUAGUACGAGAGGACCAGAGUGGACGAACCUCUGGUGUACCGGUUGUGACGCCAGUCGCAUCGCCGGGUAGCUAUGUUCGGAAGGGAUAACCGCUGAAAGCAUCUAAGCGGGAAGCCUACCUCAAGAUAAGAUUUCCCUAGGACUUUAUGUCCUCUAAAGAGCCGUUCGAGACUAGGACGUUGAUAGGUUGGAUGUGGAAGCAUAGUGAUAUGUGAAGCUGACCAAUACUAAUUGCUCGUGAGGCUUGACUA